Non-coding RNA from Carassius auratus (goldfish), 490 nucleotides. NCBI's taxonomy places the organism in Eukaryota, Metazoa, Chordata, Actinopteri, Cypriniformes, Cyprinidae. The record is from the annotation of a RefSeq genome assembly.
AUGUUGAUCUAUAUUGUUAUACUGCUGUCAUUAACCGAAGGUUACGGAGCCUCAGAAGUCAUUACUCCAAAAAGAAACAGAGAAUUUGCUCUUGAGGGUGACAUUAAUGUGACACUCUCCUGUAACUACAGCGGUUCUGCUGUUGGUGCUCACUGGUAUCGUCAAUAUGCAGGUUCACCACCACAGUUCCUCAUACUGGAAUAUUCAGGGGUAACAACUCCAGCUAAUCCACCCAUUCCAGGAAUAACCAUCAAUCACAGAAAAACUGAAAGCCAUGUGGAUCUGAAGAUCUCCUCUGCUGCUGUAUCAGACUCUGCUCUGUACUACUGUGCUCUGCAGCCCACACUGACAGGAAAACAGACUGCACUGUACAAAAACCUCACAGUAUUUUGGGAAAGUAUUAAAGCAAGGAUUUUUCUACUGACAUUUUAUUAUUCAAUGUUCAUUAAAUACCCAGCUAACCAAUAAAUAAUAAAAACUCCUUCUUCAU